GUCAGCGUAGUUCAGUGGCAGAGCGCCCGGCUCGGGACCGGGAUGACGCGGGUUCGAGCCCCGCCGCUGGUA
Molecule: transfer RNA, 72 nt
Filed under: Sulfidibacter corallicola
Lineage: Bacteria; Pseudomonadati; Acidobacteriota; Holophagae; Acanthopleuribacterales; Acanthopleuribacteraceae
Rfam family: tRNA
About the family: Transfer RNA (tRNA) molecules are approximately 80 nucleotides in length. Their secondary structure includes four short double-helical elements and three loops (D, anti-codon, and T loops).
Source: Rfam by way of RNAcentral